CCUGCCUCCAGCACGGCCGGUUCGCCUCCUCCGACCAGCCAGCCCGCCGCCUUGCCCGACACCGCGUGCAUCCCAUCCGCCUCCCCCUGCCAUCCCACCUCCAUCCCGCCUGCAUCCCCUCCUCAAGCCCACCUGCGUGCCUCCGCAAUCAUGGACUCACAGAAUGGGUUGGGUGGGAAGGGACCUUAAAGACCAUCCAGUUCCCACCCCCCUGCCACGGGCAGGGCCCCCUCCCCCCAGCCCAGGCUGCCCCCAGCCCCAUCCAGCCUGGCCUUGAGCACUGCCAGGGAUGGGGCACCCACAGCUGCUCUGGGCAGCCUGGGCCAGCGCCUCGCCGCCCUCACAGGGAAGAAUUUCUGCCUCAUCUCUCAUCUCCAUCUCCCCUCUCUCUUGUAAAGCCAUUCCCCCAUGUCCUGUCACUAUAAGUCCUGCUAAAAAGUCUGUCCUUAUCUUUUUUAUAAGCCCCCUUUAACUACUGGAAGGUGCAACAACAUCUCCCCGGAGCCUUCUCUUUUCCAGGCUGAACCACCCCAACUCUCUCAGCCUGACCCCGCAGGAGAGAUGCUCCAUCCUGUGCACACCCUGCCUGCUUCUCUCCAGCAACCUGUCUCCUCUGUCCCCUGCCCACCCCGCCAGCCUCCUUUGAAGUUUUUCUCUGGAAGUUCAGCAAUUUUUUGCUGUGUUACUGCAUUAACUAACUUUUUUUCCCCCUCAUUUUGGCUGAUUUUCACAGGCAGUAUGUACAGCACAUAAAGGUCAUCUUAAGAGCCAGUUUCAAUCCCUGCUCUAAACCACAACUAUGCUAAAGCUUCUCUUUAAUGAGAAAGACCAUCUGUUUUUGUUUGGGUUUUUUUUAGCCCCUUCCCCUUCCUCAGCCCUCUCUGGGAGAAGGUGGGGAUAAAAUAUAUUCCUCAUCACUCUCAGGAAUGGACAGACCGUUUGGCCUGGAGUAGAAAAUAAUUAAGCAGUGAUCAAAAGUCUACUGACAUCCGGCAACCAGGGGAAAAUCAAAGCUUGGCAAAGGGAGUCACCUGGGAUUGAAAUGACAUUUCAAUUUGAAAAGGGAAUGCUGAGGCCUCCUCUGCAGUAGCUGAGGGCAGUAGGGAUGGUCUGUGGCGCUCGGUGCUGCACAGAGGGAGCAGAAGGGCUUGGUCUGCAGGGGCUGAAGGGAUGCAGUGCUGCUGACCGGCUUCUCUAGACUUUCAGAAGUUUUAGAUGCCUUACAGGAGCGCAGGCUUUGUGGCAGGACACAAGCAGAUGCCGAACAGGAUGCAGUAAAAGCAGAUGAUUAAUCCAUGUUUCUUCCCAGCUUUCCAGCUUUGCUUGUGGUGCCUGGGCAAGGCUGCCUCAGACUCUCCAGCCACCUGAGAGCAUUUCUGCAAGGUAACAAAUGCCUCCCUUGGCAGCUGGUGACAUCCCUCUCUCUUGGUUUUUUUAUGAGCAUUAUGCUUCAUACUUAUUUUUACAUAAGAAUUUGCAUUCUACUUUUUGGAAGGUUUGUUACAUAUUUUUUCUAGAAGAUCAGUGAGUAUACUUUUUCCUCCCCUGCUGCCGUUUAUAUCCAAUCAUUUUUUGGUCACAUUCACAUUUUAAAGAUUGAUUUUGUGUUGGAAGGCUUCCUAGUGAGGUGCUGAAAAAAAAUCAAAGGAAUAUUAUUUAAUACACUUGAAUGUGUGUCCCAGUAUUUAUGCAGUAAAACUGGAGAUGAUCUUGCUGUGGUUAAGUGUAUUUAUGCUUCGAUAUGCUGUAUGCAAAGGCCCUUAGACCAUUGCCUGCCUUUACAUAUAAUUUUUAACCAGCAAAGAGUAAAGUCCCUCACUAUGCUUUAUUUAUGCUUUGGCAAUUAAAAUAACAAUAAAAAAGUAAAUUAAUUACUUGUAACUUGCCUAACCUCCCUCUGACUCACACAGGAUUUCCUCACUACACUCACUGCCGUUUGAUUUUGCAGUUUUCCCUUGCCUAUGAGGUUUUGUUGACAUUAAACACAGGCAACAGAACCCGAUUUUUGCCCUGCUCUCUGUGUGACCCGGCUCUGACGUCCUCAGUCUGCCAGCCAUGUGGGCACAGCAUGCGAUGCUGGGGGGCUGGAGUCAGGACAUGGCUAAUGUUUAUUUUUCUCAGUAACUUGCUGUGGUUGCUUCCUCAUUCCCAAUACCUCCUUAUUUCCAACUAGGUUUUUGCCUAGAAGUUGGAUAUUAGCAAUUUUAAGCCUGUGCAGGCCUAUAAGAUGUGUUUUAGUCUGCCUUGUUACGCGGCAUUCCGGAGCCCAUCCUUUGGGCUAUGCCAAUGUCCUCCACUGUUUGCCCGGGGCAGGGAGCAGCAAACUGUUUUUCUACAUAUAUUUUUCAAGAGCCAAAAGCCUGAAACUUCGCACAGACCGCUGGCCUUUCUUCCCACUUUGUGUUGAAGUUGCCAUCCCUUUGUCAGUCGGUUUGGGCUGAAAAUGCGCUAAUUUUUGAGAUACAUUGUGUUUAUAUAUGAAGCUGAAUGCAACCAGGAAAGUUUCCCCAUUGGAGAUGCUCUCCAAGGAACCUGUAAAUCCUUUGUGUGCCCAAACCAGGUAUGAAACAACCCCCUUUUUUGCUUUUGAGGGAUUUUUUUUUUUUUUUGUAAGUGUAUCAGAGAAGUAAAUGGCAUUUGCUCAGGCCAUAGCAAGCUUCAGACUUUGAAGCAAAAUCCGCCACUAUGAGAAUGAGAUAAGAAAAAUAGCCAGGAGACUUUGGGCGACAUCCUCUUAUUGCUUGUUAAAUCGCUGCUGAGUGACUCAUGGUGUCCCUGCUUCAACAUCAAGCAGCAAACAGUUCCUAAAGAAGCUGCUGCAGGACCCAUACUUCUAAGUUUAAGACAGAAAGUUUCUACGCGUAUUGAUCUUCCACCAAAAAUAUAAAUAAAGAAGCCCUAAAUAAUGCAAGUAUGUUUUUAUCAUCUCCAGGGUUUAAAAUCUCUAUUGCUUACGACAAAGGUGUGAAAUGCAGAUUUAUUUAAUAAGCACAUAGUUUGGCUUAGGAUAGGCGUGAAGCUCUUCUCAACGCCAGUUUUCCUCUUGGCAUCCCUCUUGUCAUGGGGCAUUGAAUCACCUAAUCCACAAAAUAUUGCAGGUGACCUAUCAUGGGACAUUUGUUCAAUAAAUGAAAUAAAUGGAAUGAAAAGAUUGAAUGAAAUGGGAAUGCAUUUCUGGCCCAAGAGACAUUACUUCAAGGGUGCACCUCAGCAUUUAUUAUGUUAAAUUGAGAAGUAACCAGCCUAGAUUGGUCUCUCUUGUCAUUUUAGCUAACAUAGCUAGGUUUUUCAUCUAUGAAACAGAAAAGCAACCUCUCAGUGAUUUUAAAAGGUGCAUCAGAUAUACACCUUGUACCCCGAUUUGCAAACUAAUUGAUUUGAGUGUGAGUUAUAUCUGCAUCUCUAACAGCAAGCUAUUGUUUCUGUGGAUUUUGCAGCUGACUUGCACACCCUCACAGCAGCAGAACAUCUCCUGUGACUCAUCAGUUAGGUUUUGAUGGGGAUAAUAAUGGUUAUUACAGCUGGAUCAGCUGCCCAAGAAAAUAACUUGCCCAAGGCAACAGGUUUGGUCCGUAUCUAACCCAAAAACAGCUGAGCAAGAGGCAGCAGCGCUUGGCUGAGCCAUAAAGGCAUCAGCAGAACUAAACCCCACACCAAGCCUGGAUUUCCAUCCAUUCAGCAAGGCAGGUGGAAAGUGUGUGUGUGGGUGGUGGUGUCUUGGUGUGCUCCAUCCCCUGUGCACCCCUUUUGCCUUAUGUUGCUGAUGCUCUGGGGGAUCCUGUGGCACUCUUGCCCCCAGUUCCUGCAAAUCCUUGCAAAUGUUGUGGUCUGGUUAUGCAAGCUGCAGCACCUGGUGACUCAGCCAAACUCAUGAGGAAGCAGGUGACUUUGCUGGGAGCUGACUCAGGAAUGGGUGACACAAGCAAAAAGCUUCUUCCCACCAUUACUGGGACAAGUUGAAUCCAGGUCUGGGUGAGCAGAGAGAUGGCAAGGGCAGAGCCUGCUGGCCCCAGCUUGGUGUGGAAAGGCAAUGUCAGGGCUACCAUUUGCUUCUGCAAAGCUUAGGUCUCUUUGCACAGCAAAAAAAUUGUUCCUUGGCUCUAACACAAGGCAAAAUCCUUGCCUAAUUUAAACACUAAUAGCAUUUUCCGUAUUUUCUGUUGAAAAGCUCUCCUUGCUUCCCUUGCUUCAUCCAUCUUGUCUUCCUGGGGUGUCUCCUUGACUUCAAGCAAAUGAUCAGCUGUGCUAAGUCUAUGCUGUACCCAAGGAGGUGGCAAAUGGCUCUCAUCCAAAGGCAGAAAUGUCUGUCUACAUGCCUGGCACAUAAGAGAGGCUGAGAGCAAAGCUCAUCCUAUGUUUGGUUUGAGACAGACCUUUGCAGCAUCCUGGUGUGAACAUUGCUGUUCUGCUGUUUGGUGUGGCCAGACCUCUGUUGCCAGCUCUCCCAGCAAUUUUUGGCUGUGGUACUCUUGGGGUCACAGGUAGACUUGUGUGACAAUCUUUCCUCCAUGACUCUGGCAGAUUUUUGAAGAUAUGGGAAAUUUUUCCAUCUACUCUGUCCCUCACCAAGAGGUCUUCUUCCUUAGCUCUUUGGGCUGAGCCAGCUCCCCAGUGCUGUCUCCCCAUCAGUGUGGAGCUGGCUGGGGCAGCUGCUACGGUCCCAGGUAGACCAAGAUGUUCCUCUUGGGGAAAGACCUUACCUCUAGGGCACCUUUCCCACCUGCUUUCCAUAUGACAUGUCAGGCAGCUUCAGACACUUUGGGCCAGAUGCUGUGGCUUCACUUGUGGUACGUGCCUGACUUUGGCCUUGCUUCUAUCAUACCCCAGCCUCCAGGAAAUUCAAGAGCAGCAGCAAGAGCUCCGAUCUCAGCGGCUCUCCCCAGGCACCUGACCUGCUCUUUCCACCACUUGCUGAGCUUGUGCUUUCGAGCUGCCUGGCUGCAAUAUCCAUCUGCCCGUCCUGGAUUGUGACAGAAAGCAGGAACUGACUUUGCCUCCGUGGCCCUCUGUGGUCACCCCCUGCUCAGAUGACAGAUUUGUGUAAGAAAAGCCAAGGAUGGGAACAGCUCUUGUGCUUCAAAAAGAAACCUCCAGCUGACCUCAGAGGAGGAAGCCUACUGGAAAGAAGAAGUGAGAGAAGCCUGGGCACUGACAAACAUCACAAAAAUUUACAUCCAGAGAAUUUUUUUCUGUGAGUGCUGGGCAGAGGGACAGAUAAAGCAAACAUACACCCCCACACCCCCCCUUUUUGUGUCCUUUGCUCUUCUGCAGGAGCAGUGUGCCUUCUGUGGAGAGCAACUUUGACAUCAUGACCUUACAGGGAGAGCUCUGGGCACAGCCUGUUCUGGGGGGGUGUUCAACAGUUUUGCCUUUCUCUGCAGGCUCUGAGGUUGGCCGUGGCCCAGGCAAGAGCCCGAGCAAAGUGCGCAUCUGGGCUUUUGGCUGAUGGGGCUUGUUCCUACACUCACGUGAGUCUUGCCUCCUGAUUCAGGGUUGGGGAAGAUGCUUUCCCAGAGUGGCUGGCCAAGGAAUGGGGCUGUACUUGCCCUUGUCUAUUCGAAGAGACACCCAAGCUCUUAUCUGUGUCACUGGAUUUAUCUCCAUCUCUUGAUCUCUCCUGCUCAUAGCAUGAAACACACAUUGAGGGUGGUGGGGUAGGGUAGGUCAAGAUAUUCUGUAUUGUGUUGGGGGUUGAAAGGUGAUAUAGGGAUGGAGGCUGUCUUGUACAUGCAGAAUUCAGCUUCAGGGGGAUAAAGUUUCUCUGUAGAGCCAUUAUUAGUGUCUGCUUUGCAGAAGGGAAACUGAGGCAUUAAAGGCUCCAUUCCAUAGUGAGCCCAGAUGGAGAAAGCAGAAGUCCUGGCCCAUGGGGAGCCCUGCUGCAACCACUUGGCCAUGCUGCCUGCACUCUUUGCCUGCCUGCAAGACUAGAAGCGUUGCUGGCUCCUGGCAGGAAGAGAAACCUCCCAAGAUCCUCCAGAAAUGAGUGGAUUUUGGUGCUCCAAUGAAAGGUUAUCUCAUCAGGCACCAUGCCAGGCACUCAGUGACGUGUGAGGGUCCAUUGCACGCCAGCCACCCGGGACCCAUUUUCUCCUGGAGAGAUUGAAUCAAGUCCCAGCCCAAUGACACCGCUGGCAGCUGCUCAAGCUGGGAACAGCCUCGUUGCACAGUAUUUAGCAAGUAUUGACCCUCACAGAAACUGAUGGGAGCAUUCAAAGUGCCUGCUGGCAGCUCAACAAAGUGACUGCAGAGCCCUGCUUCAUCGCAGCACAGAAAGAAAAAAACACAUCAGAAACCGAAACGCAAGGGGUGUGUGCAUCAGGAGUGAACAGGAAGCUGAACACCAUAAAAUCUCUACUGCAAAGAGGAUUGAAACUCUGUUGCUGCAAACCCAGUUGCCCAGCAAGAGCCCACGUGCUUGUGGCGCGUGGCAGAAGUCACAUGCGAAGCUUGCUCAACAUCUGCAGCUGCAGAGAUUUGAGUGAGUACCUCCUGACUGGCACGGGCAGGGCUUCCAGCUAGGAAGAUCUUAAAAAGGGUUGCAAAAAAGUGAGGAUUAAAAGGCAACUGCAUAUUGUCCUUUCUCACCGUGGCGGUUUUGGAAAGGUUUUGUGUGUUAUUUUCCUCUGGUGUCUCUGCCACAGGAUAGCGUGGAGGUGUCCAAACUUUUUUAGGUACUUACAAUGCACCAAUCUCACUUUCAUCAGUAAGAAUUCCCAUUUUAGGUUGACUAUCCCUGUAGAUUCAGACGGACAGGACUGAUGGACAAGGGGAGGACAAAUUGCUUCGCAUGAUCUCCUGGGCAGAAGAAAAGUGGCACCGGCUCAUCCUGGAAAUCUCCAGCUGGAGAUGAGGAUUAAGAAGGUUUGGGAGGCAAGCAGGUCUCCAGCACAAGGACAACGAGCCCAGCUGGCCAUGCACAAGGGCACUAAAGACAUUAAAAUUAUCUGCGGAGCAUGAGCAGUUCAACAAAUGGUGAGCAGCCUCCCAGCUUUACACUGGAAUUACCCCGAGGGAGAGGUGAGAGCAUCUUGCAACAGCCACAUCAGGACAGAGGCGGCUGCAGGUUUUCUCCCAUGGCUGAUUUCCAAGGUCGCUCCACCCCUGCUCUGCCUCCCCAAGCACUUUCCAACCAGCUAAAUCAUUCAGAUAAAUAUAGCAGGAGGAAGGCAGCAGGUUUGGCUUGGGAAGAACGGAUGGAGCUGGCUCUGAGACAGCGAGCGUGCUUUGUACUCAUUGCGACAGAGUCACAUGCAUGUAUUGAAACUGAGACCUAAGUGUAAAAUUAUGCUGUUCUGGGACUUUGGACAAGUCUUGAGUUUUUGGAGGGGAAGCUGGCAGCUGGCUUUCUUCCCCAGCUGAUGAGGUAGCGAGUCAGCUAGAUUGAAUUGGGUCAUCUUUAGCUAUGAGGUGGUCUUCUUCACCUCGGGUAAGGGAAGCCGAUGUCCCAACACACAGCCCUUUGCACAGUCCCAUUGGUGUCUCCAGCUGCACCUGUGCAGCAGGGGCCUGGAUAUCUCCCAAGUCUUUGUUGCUGUUCCCCACCCCAGAGCACCACUUGGCUGCAGGAGGUUUCUGGGACAAAGAGCCUCUGGGAUGGGGAAAUAGGUGGUGGUGACUUCUGGCUGCAGCCUCCACUGUGCUGAGGCACCUGGUCACCUGCUGAGGGAUGGACCUCAGCAUCUGAGGGCUGACAAAACACCAUGGGGUCUUCCCAGAGGGGCCUGGCUGCCUGCUCUGAGCUCAGGGAGCAUCUGCAGCCUCUCUGACGACUGGUAGCCAUCAAAUACUGUGUGCUGGCAUUUGCAAGAGCCAUGGGCUCUUGAGACUGGCCCACUAAGGUUUAUGGUGGACACCACCUAUGGUACUCCUCGCAAGGCAGGCAGCUGUCCCACAGGUUGGGCUAUGUCACUUGUGGCCCCAUGUGUGCCCCAAGUGCCUGUAGGUCCCACCUGAGGGGCAAGGGACAGCCCUGAAUCUUUCCAGCAUCUGGCACAGUGAGGUCCUAACCUUGAAUUGGCACCCACCCAAGGCAACAAACACCAAAAAAAGAAGGCAACUUCUCCUGGGAACUGCUGUGUCAGGGCUUGGCCCUCCUAACAUUGUCUCCCCAUGGCUUUGAGCAUCUUCCUUGCUGACGCAGUGCUGAGCUGCACGUCCCAAGGUGAGAAGAGGCUGAAUAAACAAUUGCCCCCACCCCAAAAAGGAUGCUGGCGCCUGCUGGGAAAGCCCAGACUGGUGUUUAUGCCAGAAGACACACAAACAUCUCAGGCAAACAGCCCUGACCUCCUCCUCCUCCCCCCCCAAAAUGAGGCUUUUUCUGCUUAUCUCUGCAUCCCUGGGGUAACCCUUUGUGGAGAUAUUCUGGGAUCCCAGUGCCGUUGCCGUUUCCUUCCAGCACCAUUUCCUUCCAGCACCGUUUCCUUUGGCAUGGGGUCAGCACCACCAUCCUCUCCCGAUGGGGCCCUGCGGGAUGCCCGUGGUCCCCCAGGAUGCCUGGGGCUAUCACUGGGAACACAUUAGCUAGAGAAGUAGGAAGCACUUCAACAGGAGCCAAUGGUCCAGGAGCCAGGGAGGCUGGAGGGUGCUAGGCAAGGAAGAAAAACAGGAAGGUGAUGGCAGAUAAGCAAAAGACCCUGGAAGAGGAAUAUAGAGGAAUAAUGGAGGGUAGGAGGGAAGUGAAGAUCAUGGCUUCUCCUACAGCAGACAUAGUACUGUGAGAGGAAGCUGCUGAAAGAAAAGCAGCCCAGAAAAAUCCUUUUCAUCAUGUUAGGUCUCACCUCACAGCAAGGUGGGAGCUGGGGAUGCUCUAGCAGGUCUGUGUGUGAGGGAGCUGUCACACACCCAUGAGGGCUUAUACCUGGCUGAGAAACUCCAAACACAGCCCUGUGGGAAACUUAAUUAGCAUGUGGUGAAGCCCUGCUAAUUAACCUGUUAGUGGCACGCUUCCCAUCGAGAGGAGACCAUCACUGCCUUGUGCAUAGACAGCCCUAGAGCGGGAGUGUCCUGGGGACAGGACUUGAUGUGAACCCAACACCUUGCUGUCCUGCUGGGAUGAAAUAUAUCAGAGACAGGGGCUUGUGUCCAUGUCCCAGGUCUGCCCUGCCUCAGGGUUUCCUUUGCACGUGUCCUGGUGUUUAAUUUUACUGUGCCAGAACAUAACAACCCGUGUUUUCCGACUGAUUUCUGCAGACACCUCUACUGUCCUGCUGAUCUCUCAGGCUUAUGCUCUUGGUAUGACCCUUGAGCAAAUCUUGCUCACGGCACAUGCAAAUCUUGUCCUUUUGCAUAGUUUCUCCAACACACAGCCUGUCUUCAACACCUGCAUGGAUAAAACCCCAAUCCAGGUGCUUACCAUCUUCCAUCCUGAUCAUGGCUGUAACCAUGAUCUUUGGUGUAACCCUCCGCAAAGCACAGAUGGGUGCAAUGGAAGGAUGCUUAACCAGGUGGCCCUUCAGAAACACUUCUCUACCCACAGGGUCCUGGCAGUAUACCAGGUCUGAGACCUCUUCACUGCAGGAGAGCUUGUUGGGAAUGUACUGAUGGCCAAACUGUGCCCAGGGUUUGUUGAGCUCAGUGCUCCCCGGUCAGUGUUAAAAGCAAGGACCUAGUAAUUUAAAAGUGUAGACAAAGGCACUUAUUUAAUUCCCUCCUUGAUAGGGGGGAUUAUCUGUGUCCUGCCAAGGUAACCUGGCAACAGUGGGGGUCUGGUAGAUGAUAACCCCAGAAAGGAAGAGGUCAAUCCUUAAUCCUUCAGAUACACCAGAGGUUGAAGAGACCUACAGAGUGAUUGUGUUCCCCGUGAUGAUACGGGAGCCAGCACACCAGCCUCCACUGCUGGACAAGGGAUGUGGGCAGAUGAGCCCAAGCAGAAUCAUCUGAGUAACCUGAUCCAGGAGCCACCACUGAUGGUACUGGGAAUGGAAACUAAAAUCCCAGCCUAGAGUGACAACCACAAGCGCAUAGGGAACUGGUGGACUUGGCCAGGACAUGGCUGGUGUCCACCAAAGGCAGAACCAGUUCCUCUAACACCUGGGAAGUGGGACAUGGGCCAAAAGGUAAGAGGUGCAGUAUCUGUGGCCUGAGUCCCUUCAUCUGUGCCACAAGGUCAUCUUCUAUUCCUCUCUUCAUGUUUCCCCUGGGCUCCCCAUCUCUGUGGUUAAGGGUGGGGCAUCAUGUUAGAUGAUGAAGAGCUGGGUAAUGGUAGCCAAACUACCCUGACACUUCCAGGCAUGGCUUGGGCAGCCUUGAGAAGAGGGGACAAAGGAAGAGCUUGGCCAUAAGCUUUCUCUAGAGACAGUCCAUCUCAAUCCACCACUAACAUUAGUGAUACGCUGAAGCAGAGCCUGUGCUUAUGGUACCCUGACAGUCUCCAGCUGGCAUCAGUGGGGCAAGGCUGGACCACAGACAAUUGGUGAAGCCCAGCCAGGUCACAUGGAGAAAAUAAUGAGGGAAGCCCAGGGGCUGUGUGAUCCGUCCCUCAGCAUCCUACUGCUGACCUAGGUGUCUCCAAGUAUGCACUAGAGAUGGGUACCAUGCAUCCUUGUCAGAUGGGUCUAAGGUAGACAUGUGAUCACAUCGUGGCCAUGAUGUGGAGUGUGGGAUGUGAGAAGGUGGUGCCUGAGAUGGGCCAUGACAAGAGAAGACCAUGAUACUAGAUUGCAUCUAGUUAGUGAAAGAAAGGUGGGCUGAGUUGUUCGUGUGUGGGCUGCGUGAAGGAGGAGCCCUUCUUUUCUUUCCAACAUAAAAAGGAGAGAGCGAGUGACAUACAACGCCCUGUCACACUAGCAUUGUGGUCUUUGGCCAAGGAGACCAGACGAGUUUCUGUGGGCCUGAUGAGAAAGCCUUUGGAGGGAAGGACAAGCUCCCUCAUGGCUUGUUAGGUGGUAAGAUGCCAACAAUACAAAAGUCUGGGUAACUCUGCACAUGAAAGUGCAAUGUCCAAAGCUGGGUCAGCUCCAGGACUGCUGUCCAGGAAUUGCUGAGCCCAGGACUAUGCUUGUCUCCUUUGCUGAGCCACCCAAAGGGCAGCAUCACUGGAAGAGUUAAGGAAACAAGUGAGAGCAGAAGCCAGCCCCCAAAGCAUGGUCUACUUGCAGCGGCUUCACUUCCUCCAUACAUAUGCAAAACAUAACCAGACUCCAUCGACAGCACUAUUAUGAACAGCACUGGGUUUGGGAGAGCACUUGGUAACCCACCAGCCUCCAGCUCUGCCACCAGCAGGCUGUGCGACCUUGGUCACAUCACCACAUGCCCUCUCCCUGGCCUGCAAGUCUGGAGAUGAAGAGGGUCACACUAGGUAUUGGUGGCUGGGUGGUCCUCCCCAAAGGGGUGGGGAGGACGUUUUUCUGAAUGGAAAUUCGUUGCUGGAUCCCUGGCUGGGUUGCUUAUCUCUGAUGCUAUUUCAGUCAGCAAGAAACCGCCAAGCAUGUGCCAGACGUGGUGGUGGUAGUGUCAGGAGGAGAGCGGGGGGAUGGGAGAGGGGAGACGGGGCAGCUCCUGUGCUGUCAGACAGCCAUGAGCCCCCAUCAAGGUCUCAGCCAGUGCCAGAGAUAGUGGGGGUCCCCUGGUGUUGGGGCCGACCCCAUGGUGGGCGCAUGGUGGCUGAGCUAAGUGGGAUCAGUGGCAGGGUGCACAUGAAUGCCGAUAAGAACCGGGAAGCGGUAGCCAAACUCCCACAGUCUCUUCAGGCAUGGCUGGGUACCCUGGGACUGGCAGAGGGGGAGGCAGCCUGGGGGCUCCCCAGGAAGACCCUGUGAACAGCUUAGAGCUGCCCUGCUCAUGGGGUCUGCAUGACCACCAGUCAACCCAUCUUCUCCAGGUGGUGAGGGAAACAGAGGGAGAUGGGUUCACCCCCUCCACCACCCCCAAGAAGGGAAGUGUUGGAAGAAGGGUUCGCCGGAGUCAAGAAGACGCUCAAUAUGAGUUAUGCAUCUUGCUCAACUUUAUUAGUUUCUAACACUACUUAUAUAGAACCCAUACACAUGCAUAUUCGUAAAGCAGAAAUAUAAUUGGUUAGUAGUCUCUAAACGCGUGCGGUUCUCACACCCCUAAUUAUCAUGACUAAAAUAAGCGUUCUAUCCAUGUAGCUAAUUGUGUUGCUGUGCUUCAGCCUUGUGGUUUGUUACUCCCUAUUUUCCAGUACCGGUCCCUAUCUUUCUUGGCCCUGCACCUGCUUUCCCAGCAGCUGUAGCUUGUUACAGCCACGGCCUGUUGGCACAACAUAAUUACUUGGUCUCAGGAUUCAAGAAUAGCUCAAGGCUACCUUUCUUGUUAACUUCAGCACAGCAACUUCAGUACAAUUCUGAUUACAGGCCUACUCUAAUACCAGGCCUGGAUUGUGCAGAUCUUCAGAGAUUCUAAAGCCAUGCUUCUGCAGGGAAAUUUCAUUGUAAGAAGUAAAAAUCGCUUUUUAAGACUUUUUUUUUUGGUUGUGGGUUGUUUUUUGGUUGUUUUUGGGUUUGGGGUUUUUUUUUGACAGUCUAUGGAGGAAUUUUCUUGCUGAAUGCUUUUGCUUUUCAAUUUGUGCAAGUUAUAAAAAACCACACAGGGUCACAGGAUGUUUCUGUGGGAGGUUUAAUUCUGCCAGAAAUCACUUUCUUCAGCAUAGCUGUCUCUGACAGCUUGUCCCAAGAUAGCCUUUACUAUUUUAAGUUAUUAUAAAGAUAAUAUUCUAAGAUAUUUUUUAAAAAUCUAAUAAAUGCUUUUUGACACCUUGGGACCACUCCUUCAGCUUUCUCCAAAAGCAGCUGAUCUAGGCUGCCCUGGCUGGAGCAGGGCGUGGAUCAGAGAUCUCCUGAGGUCCCCCUCAGUCUCAGUUACUCCGUGUUUUCAUAAGCUGUUCUGCAGCAAUUCCCUUUGGGAGGGGAGAGAGAGAGUUACCUUUGCCCCCACCCUACAGAUGGGUAAACUGAGGCAGUAAACCUUGCAAAGCUGUUCAGAGGCAGGAGUGGAGACCAGCACUCCACGUGCCCAGUCACAUACUGUAGGAAAAACUCUAUCCUGAAGCUGAAUGAGAGCCAAGCCUUAAAUAGGGUUGUUUCCCACAGCAAGGCUUUGCUGACCUCCCGUUUGCUGGGAUGCUGGCUCAAGCAGGCUCAGCCCAGAAAAAACCCACUGAUUUUUGGGGGUUUCAGCAUUUCUGUCAGUGUCUGGGAGGAGCAUCUGGAACAAGAGACAUUUCUGGACCAUUGCACGCACUCAUCCAGACAGGCAGCACCUCCUUCAAAGUAGACGUUGUUGUAGCUGUUUUGCUCUGUGUGUCUAUUGGCAGUGGGGCUAAAUGAGUCAGAGAUCUGGUUUAGUCCUGGGAUUUUUCAAGGAGGACAAAUCACCAGGGAAGCUUCUUCUCUGUUCCCCCUGUGGCUCGUGCAAAUGAUUUCACUAGCUAAUCAGUACACGGUUGAAUGUUAAUUUGGGAGCUGUAACAUGUCGCUGGGGUCAGCCAGUGAUGCCCUAUGCGAUUUUGGCAAAUGGAUGACACAGGCACUCCCAACUUUCUGUAUCACCACUGCUUAUGGAGGGAAGAGGGAACCCUGGUUGUGCUCAUGCUCAUUUUGCACACUGGGGAGUUGGGUCUGCAGCCUCAUAAGCUCUUGCUGGCUGGUUGCCCGAUCCAAGCCAGGACAGGCCCACAAGGAUGGGUUCCCAAAAGGCUUUGUGGUACAUGGGUGCCUUGGCUUUACCAUCUGUUACAUGGGGUUUUGCCAGCUAAUGGAGGACCUUCCCACAUCCCUCAAAACAAGCAUAUCUGUGUACUCACUGCCCUGUGGGGAAAAGGAAAGAAAAAUGUAAAAUGUCUGCUAAGCACCCAGUCCAUCACUUUUGGUGCCCUACAGACAUCCACUGAUACCUCUUGAGUUCAAAGAACAGUCCCAGACACAGGGAGCAGAGCUGCCAGCUCAGGUAAUGUGACCCUUGGGGACAGUUCACAUAGACAUGUGAGUGUGGCAGGUUGAAAUAUAGAAUCUUUGCAAGGGAAUGGGGUUGCUCUUUUGCUAUACAUGAGAGCCGGCUUCUUCCUGUUCCUGAUGGCAUGUGGUGACUUGUCCCCUGGCACUUGGCCAAUAUAUUCCUGUCUGGUUCCUACCUACUUGGGCUGUUGUGUCUUGGUCCAUGCAAGUUGGCUCAUGCCUCACCUGUGUUAUCUGGCCUAUGACCCCAGCAGUGGGUCCUUCACCUCCAUUACCAUUAGCUCACCUUCCUUCCCUGUUGCAGAUACCACUUCUUCAGAGCAGGUUCUCCUCACUGUGGUGACCUACAAGCUGUGAAGACAGAACAGCAAAGAGGUGGACAAGGAACACCUGGGCAAGGAAACAACUGGAGUUCUCUCUGUUGUCUGCCAGGCCGCCAGCCCUGUGGUCCAGGCUGGACUACUGAUCUGCUGAAUGGCCAGGUUUGGAAGACCUUCUGGGUGUCAAGGGAAACUCUUCACCCCUUCAGUUGCCUGGAUGGUGAAAGGGCAAUCUGACAAUUCUGUUCUCAAGAGCAGCACAGCAUUGAUAUGGAUGCAUUGUGCUCAUGUACAGAUAAGAGAGAAUUAAAAAAAAUCCCAGUCCAAGGCACCUUCUCCUUUCCCACCCUACUAGGAGAUAUUUGUUUGCCUUAUAACACUUUCCUUCACAAACCUCAUUUAUUGGUCUAAGGAUGACCACUGACCUCAUGAAAGUGUAACUGCUGCAGCCAUCCAUGAGAAACCCACUGGUCUCUGUCCUAUGCUCAAGUCACAGAAGGUCUCCACAUGUAUUUUGGCAUUCAGUUUCAUCUCAGGAUGAUCCAGCUGGUGGCUUGGGGGCUGGCAAUGGCUGGUGGGAUGAUUCUGCCUGUCUCUGAAGAGAGAGCUUUUUCAGAGCUUUCACCAUGUGACGCUGGUGAGUGACAGAGCUGUUGUGGGGGCUGAUAACUGGGUUAGCUCCAGUGGAAAAUGCUUCUGCCUAUGCUCAGCAGGACCUUGGGUCAUCCCCCACUGUGUCAGCUCACAAAACACUAAAGACCCUCUUCCAGCCUGUGCUUCACCUACCACAGUCAGCCACCCUCCCGGGGGAUUCUGCUAACGAACUGUGCUUGAAGACUAUCAUCUCCCAGCAGAUAGCAGCUCCCCAAGGAACAGGCAGCCUGGCAGUAACGAUGCUGAAGGUGAAACCUCCCAUUAAUCACAGAAGCACAGCUGCCACCUCCCCACACAAGCAACCAGAAGUAACCACAUCACUGAACAGACAAAACAUGCACAUUUUUCCCCUGUCAUGUGCUCCAGGGUGUUUUCUCUCCCCUGUGCUCAGUGUCAGGAGAUGUCUGGUGCUCAGAUAGGGCUGCCCCCGGACUGUGGACCAUACAUUAAAAGAUUGUGUUGUCAGCCAGUCCCAUCCUUGGAAACACAAGCCUGGGAGACUCCAUAAUGUGCUUAACAGUCAAAUCCACAACUGCCCUCCUUGGGAAGAUAAAUCUAUUCACAUGCCAGCAAGGGGGACCUCAGCUUCACCUCUGCCUUCAGAGGUGGCUCCUUUGGGCAUUUACCUCCCUGUGGUGCUGAGAUAGCAUUACCAAACUUCUCCCCAUGAAGCAAAACCAGGACAGUGUUGGCUUGGGCUUUGCUUCCAAGCAACAGCUUGGCAGGAGGGGUUAUUUAAUUUUUUUUUUCUCAUCCCAGGAACCAUGUUUUAUUUGAGGUGGCUACUUUAAAGAGCUGCUGGGGCCAAGCAGAAAUCCAACACUUGGGAGGAAAGAGGCUAAUGGCAAACUUGGGGUAUGCUUGACUUCCCCACCUUGGAAUAAAUCUAGUGACUUCCAGAGGAAAUGUACAGACCCCUUGAAAUUACACCUGUAUCCUCAAUUCCUUGUCCUGCAGACCUCACUGAGAUAUGUUGCCAUUGCAAGUGCUGCCAACUCCAGACCUGUAUCAGAAGGCUCACCAAGUCUUGUAAAUCUCUAAAGCCUUCCUGUCGUCCAGCUGCAGGUUUGGUUUUGUCCCCACAGCUCCUGUAGCUCCACAAACCUUGCUGUUCCUGGUGCCCCAGGACCGUGGCAUCAGGUCCUCCAGGCUGGGGAUGGAUUGCCAGGCUUGAAGAACCAUGCCCUACUUCUUCUCCCUCUGUCUUCUCCAGAUGAAGACUGAGAAAGCCAGGUUUCAGGUUCUGCUCAACAAAACAGGGCUGUGGGCCAAGACCCUGCCUUCUCAGGGCUUUGUAAAAGUGACCGCUGCAAAAACCCAGUGAGAUGCAAUGCGUAGUUCACAACUGCAGCCACAGAGAUGGGGCCCCAGUUGCCCUGUCCGUGUCUGAUACAGCUGAGCUUUUUGCUGUAUUAAUACAUUUCCUGCUGGCUGGAGCUUCCACCAGUCCUGGGAAGGAUCAGUCUGACACCAGGAAGGGGUCAUACGCCUUGGGGUCUGGCUAGCCCAGCCAACGUCCUUGCAGAAGGUCUCUCCAUAUGUACACCCAUAUGAAUUGAGAUGUGUUUUCAGGAAGAGUGUUUUCGGAUCUUACCCAAGGAAUUUAAUUAGGAGUGUCUCUACUGGGCCAGGAGGCUGUAGGUCUGACACAACUGCUUUGCCAACAUGUUCCUCCAAAACCCCAUUUUUCUUUUCCUUUCAUAGAUGUGGGGAGCAUGGGGUGGGUGAAAGAUGGUGUAUGUGGGUGUUCAUGCCCGUGCACCUCCCCUCCUUCCCCUGUCCUCUUCAUCACCCUCCCCAGCCCCUUCCCCUCUUCUCAGCAAUGAUAAGCUCGAGGAUGGAAAAAAUGUUGUCACACAUAUCUCAUUUCCAGUGUGUGGGAGUGACUGACAGCGGCAUGAAGAUCUGGACAAUAAAACCUCCUGACAGCUUUUGUGUCCAUCCCAGGCAUGGGGACAUGGUCCUGGAGGAAGGGCCGAGUGCUUGUGGGGCUUGGGGAAGGGUGCUGCAAGUGGUGGCCCUGGGGAGGAGGAUGGAGAGGGGAAAGGGCUUGUUCAGCCCUCCUCAUCUGGGGUGCAAAGUCCUUCCCCAAAUUCAGCAUUGUCUCUCAUCCCAAACGAAGAGCCACAAGCUUUUGGCUGCAGGUGGCUUUGCAGGCGUGAUGGGGAGCAGCCUGACAGCUGCUAGCCACAGUGUUUGUUUUGGAGCAUCCCCACCGGCCAGCGCUCCCUCCCUGGGGCUGGGGGGGCUGCACUGCUCCAGCACUGCUGUUCUUCCCUGUAGGGCUGCCAAAAAAGCCCAGAGCACCUCGCCAGAAGGGUGAAGUCAUUUAUUUAUGCCUGGAAAAAAAAAAAAAAGAAAGUACUUUAUUACACAGCCUCUGAGAUGCUAGGGCUGACCUACUGCCAGGCUUUCACUCUAAUGUGGACAGCUGAGGUCAGCACAGGGCAGUCCCAGUGGCUGAGUCUUUUCUUAGUCCCCUUGUAGGGGCAUACAAACAGGACAUCAAUUUACUUAUGGUAAAAAAAAAUAAAAGAAAAAGUGCCAAGGUUUUGCUGGCAGAGGUUCGUUUGACUGACAGAAGUGUGUCCGUGGUGGCAGCUCACCCUGGGCUCCCUUUGCCAUCCGCAGAGAUAAGAAAACCCUUGUAAGACAUAAUUUCUUGCCUUUCCUCUGGCUCUCAAGGGAGAUGUGGAGGCCAAGGAGACAGAAGCCUUUGCUUCGUAGAUGUUCAGAUUGCUUACCCGAUGCAAGGGCUUGGCUCUGCCUGAGAUGAGAGGGGCUCUUCUGAAACAGGGCUUGGGUCUGAGAGUCCCUGACAGUGACUCUGAUUUUAUAGCACUCCGAGUUUUUCAGCAUCUAUUUUCUCACCGUAAUUACAAGUGAGAAGGAUUUUUACAGAAAAUCUGGUUUAUUCUAAGCAAAAAAACCACAACCCAAAACAUUUUAUAAAUUUUCCAACUGGAAAGAGAACCAUUCAUUGUUUACAUUUCUGCCCCAUGCCUUGGGGGCUGUCAUUCCUCUCCCUAAAGUCUCCAUAUUCCUCUAGAGCACUGCUCUCCUAAGUGGGGUAUGAGCAAGAUGAUCCAUUGAAGUGGUGGAAAAAAUAUUCUUUGUAACAUUAAUAAAUAAUAUAAAAUAAAAUAUAUUAAAAGACCACUGCUGUAGGGAACCAUCUCUCUCCUUGGGCUGCAGCAUCCAUGUCCCACAAGGCUUUUCCCUCCCAAGGGCUGUGUUGUAGCAGAUAGGAAGCACAGUUUGUUUUGGGUUUAGCCAAAAAUAUUUCAUACUUUUCUGGUCAAACCACACUUCUGGGGGAGAGAAGAAAAGAG
Long non-coding RNA from Falco peregrinus (peregrine falcon), 18216 nucleotides. RefSeq lists it as uncharacterized. The record is from RefSeq and is a predicted model, not a curated record. Lineage: Eukaryota; Metazoa; Chordata; Aves; Falconiformes; Falconidae. The transcript has 3 exons.